This 465-nucleotide ribosomal RNA is filed under the name uncultured bacterium. RNAcentral describes it as "partial 16S ribosomal RNA". It matches the Rfam family "Bacterial small subunit ribosomal RNA", at positions 28 to 507 of the family's 1533-position model. The record is from RNAcentral.
GACGAACGCUGGCGGCGUGCUUAACACAUGCAAGUCGAACGGAAAGGCCCCGUUGUUGGUCCUCGAGUGGUGAACGGGGGAGGAACACGUAAGUAACCUGCCCUUGACUUUGGGAUAACUUCAGGAAACUGGGGCUAAUACUAGUUAGGAAUCCUUGCUUCAUCGGGGUGGUUGGAAAGCGUCGGCGGUUUUGGAUGGAAUGGCUGCUUAUCGGCUUGUUGGAGGGGUAGUGGCUUACCAAGGCUGUGACGGGUAGCCGGCCUGAGAGGGCGACCGGCCACAUUGGGACUGAGGUACGGCCCAGACUCGGACGGGAGGGAGCAGUGGGGAAUCUUGACCGAUGAGCGGCAGCCUGAUGAAGAAAGGCCGCGUGCGGGAUGACGGUCUUCGGGUUGAAAACCGCUUUCAGCAGGGGCGAAGCUUGUGGUGACGGUACCUGAAGAAGAAGCAACGGCUAACUACGUG